Molecule: non-coding RNA, 657 nt
Organism: Mus caroli (Ryukyu mouse)
Lineage: Eukaryota; Metazoa; Chordata; Mammalia; Rodentia; Muridae
Source: RefSeq, a predicted model, not a curated record
ACUUCUGCCUGAGGGUGGUCAGGCUUUUUGAACGAUUUCAAUCAUAUGGAGUGAGUACCUGAAUUGCAAAGAUGAAGCCCCCUCUAAUUUUUUGCAGAUAAGAGCCAAAGCCACAAAAGGAUAUGUCACAUAAACUACUAAAACUAGUGGUAUCCUCCAUUUCUGCCUCUUGACAUCUUUUCCCUGGAGUAAUAAUCACUCAACAAAGAAAGAUAAGGCAAUAAUUCCAGAGUCAAGAGAAAGGAAAGUGAAUAGAGCUCCAGAUGGGAAAGCAGACGUCACCUCCCAGAGCCCUGCAAAUACAAGAGAUUGCAACUGAGGGUUUUGCUGAGGAGCAGGCCGGUACUUCCAAGGAAGAGACAUGCUCCAUCAUGAUCCAAAGGCCACAUAGUUGGGCUGAUAUUCCCAUCCAGGUUUCUGCUGGAUACAAAGAAUGCCAUUGUAUUAUGUGGACUAUCUAAGAGCAUGUUGCAUUGCAGAGAUGGAAUUCUCCAGAGGCUGCCAAGACUGCUGUCAGGUGUAAUCUAACCCAUCAACAUUUUUAGGAGAAAGCAGAAUGAACAUGAAAACGGGGAUGAAGGAGAGGGAGGAACACGUACCUUUGAAGUUGUAAUUGAGCGUCUUGUCUGCUCCAUUGAAUAAAGUUCUGUAGAAAGU